RNAcentral lists this small nuclear RNA (21 nucleotides) under Arabidopsis thaliana (thale cress). RNAcentral's name for it is "snRNA_02802". The record is from RNAcentral. Lineage: Eukaryota; Viridiplantae; Streptophyta; Magnoliopsida; Brassicales; Brassicaceae.
UACUGAGUGUUUGAAACACCA